This 253-nucleotide ribosomal RNA is filed under the name uncultured bacterium. Its description in RNAcentral is "partial 16S ribosomal RNA". It matches the Rfam family "Bacterial small subunit ribosomal RNA", at positions 524 to 776 of the family's 1533-position model. The record is from RNAcentral.
UACGUAGGUGGCAAGCGUUGUCCGGAUUUACUGGGCGUAAAGAGCGCGCAGGCGGUCGUUCAAGUCGCGUGUGAAAGCCCCCGGCUCAACUGGGGAGGGUCACGCGAUACUGAUCGACUCGAAGGCAGGAGAGGGUAGUGGAAUUCCCGGUGUAGUGGUGAAAUGCGUAGAUAUCGGGAAGAACACCCGUGGCGAAGGCGGCACUCUGGGACGGUACUGACGCUGAGACGCGAAAGCGUGGGGAGCGAACAGG